AGAGAGAGAGAGAGAGAGAGAGAGAGAGAGAGAGGUCUUCCAGUUUUACAAGCAAAAGUACCAAGCCAGUCCAACAUUGGGUCUUGAACUGCUAUUCAGAACCAACAAAUUUAUCAUUCUCCUGCUAGUUUAGUGUUCCAAGCUCCUUCCCAAGUUCCGGAACCUGUUUUCUAUAAUUUCUUUUUCUUGAAUCCUUGUGGUAGACUAUUUUAUGUUGUCACUCUACUUUGUUUGUGUCCAAGUUUUUUAUUCAAAUCUUUGAGCCAGACUAUUUUACGAGGAAGAGAAGGGUGUCUUCUUAAUAUUCCUAGAAGAAAAAGUGGCUAGCAAAUUCUCCACUUUCGUGGGACAGAGACUCCCCGUUUUGUCUGAAAAAGAAGCACCCAGCAUUCUCUACGCUCUAGAUUUUCUCAGCAAUGGGAUCUGUCCAUUAAGCUACCAGCUUCUGCCCUCUCCAUUGGACUUCGUAGUCCGACACUUGUUUAUACUUCCUCACUCCAAAAGGUUUCUUAGAUUGUAGAUGAACAAGAAAUAAACCCCAAAAGCACAUAUCCGAGACCGCCUUCUUAUGUUAUUGGGUGGAAGACGAGCAAUAGGACACAAAACUCUUGCUUUCCUCCCCUUCUUCUGCUAGAGAAAACAGAAUCGACAUGUCAUCUUUGGAGGGCUUAGCUUCCUCUCUCCUACCAGAAUAGUAAUAAAUGUGAUGAAAAUUCUUAGGGCCUCUUAUUUGGAAAUAUCAGAAUGCUUCUACUGGUGCAAUAAGGUGAGAGUGGGUGGGAUUUCUUGUGAGUUCUGAGUAGUGAUCUAGGUUAUAUGUCGAGCAAUGGCGACGGGCGCCCAAAUCCCGGAAGAGAUGCCUGAGAAGCACCGGAGGAAGCAGCUUGCAACUACUGUUAGGAACAUACGGUGGAGCUAUGCAAUCUUUUGGUCUAUCUCAACAAGACAACAAGGGUAUGGAAGGCCUUCAAAAUUCAAUUUUUCAUUCUUCUCUUUGUUUCUUUCUUUCUUUUUGUGGGUAAGUAUUCUGUUUUUCUAGUUUUCAAACUUAUCCCUUUCUUUUACUGUCUGGUUGUGUUUUCAGUCUGUGUUUGCUCUCCUAGAAAACAAACACUAAGUUGAAAUUAGCCACAUCUCUGGCAUUUAUGCUGCAGUUUAUCGAUUGAAAAUGGUAUCAGUAGUUUUCAUUUGUCUAUUUAUUUAUUUAUUUAUUUAUUGUGG
RNAcentral lists this long non-coding RNA (1221 nucleotides) under Phoenix dactylifera (date palm). Its description in RNAcentral is "long non-coding RNA (PDAC_LNC007280)". Lineage: Eukaryota; Viridiplantae; Streptophyta; Magnoliopsida; Arecales; Arecaceae. The record is from RNAcentral.